AGCUGUUUUGUUUGGCGUUUGUAGUUCUAAAAAUAAAGUUAGUUUCUUUUGACAAGUGGCUCCUGAAUUGUGCCUAGCCAGACUGCGGCACUCCCUAUGCCUGGGUCUUAGAGCUGCCUGCCCACUGGCCCAGGUCUCCUGGCCCAGGGCCGGGGACCCUCCUGUGGGCUGCUUCCCUGCCAUCCUGGUGAGCUUACCUGAGAGGACGUUCUGCAACGAUGGCUUCUUGGAUGAGCUCCGACUCCAGGUUGUCAAUAUGGAACUGGCCGGUCUGCUCUCAGCAGCAGAGAGCGAGGUGUGAAACACGGGCUGAGUAAUCCCGUGGUGACACGGGGCAGCAGCACAAAAUUCUGUGGACAACCUUCCGUCAGAGGCAGCUGCAAGGCUCUGCUGCCAUCUGCUCCAGGCCAUGAUCUCAGAGAAGGAUUUAGCAAGUGUGUGUCAAUGAUGCUUUGAAGAUUCGUUUUACUCAGCGAUGAGUGAAGUGGCGGGACGGUCCAGUUGACUUAAUGAGCACUUGAGGAACAGAGAUUUAUUCAGCCCAUGGGAGAAAUGGUGCUGGGAUACACUUGCUUGCAGAUAGAUCUGAAGAGGUCUAGACGAGCCCCCGGGGCACACGGAGGAAAAUGCCCCCCAUUUGUUCCCUCCCUAGUCCACGCCUGCCCUCGAACACCUGUGUAUCCCAGGACGGGGACCAUGACGUGGAUGAAGCAGGCAGUCCCCAAGCUUCUGGAGCGUGAGCCCAGCAGGGCCACAGGUGUGUGGCAAGGGUGCCAGGGACAAGAUGAGCCAGAGAGCGUGGGAAGACAGGUAGGGCCUUGUGGGGACACCCCCUGGGGCAGAGGUGAGAGGGCAGCCAAUGAGGGAGGCUGAGCAGUGACGAUGUUGGGGGUCACUCCUGACCUCUGUGGCUGGCUGCCAAGCAAGGCCUUCAUGGGGAGUCAGCUCGCGCUGAGGAGCCGAGUCAGGGGAGGAGGCAGGGCAGAGGGUGGCCUCUGAGGGCCCUGGAGCAGGAGCCACGGGCAGCACAACAGGAUGGCAAUGGUUUCCCUAAACCAGAGAACCCGGGCUGCACCCACUGGAGCCCGAGGGCAGCUCGACUGGCAGGUAGACCUUGGGGAGGGCAGCCAGUGGGGGACGCUCAGCUCUUCCCUCCUGGCCCCCAGGAGUGACAGCAUUGGCUUCCAUCAGUGGUCACUGUGCUGCAGGGGCAGGCUUGUCCCAGAGUCAACCCGCCUGGCCUGGCCGGGGUGAAGGAGUGGAGGUGGACGGUGGGGCUGCGGGUCAGACCAUGGCAAUACCUGCCACUGCUUGGGCCACCAGGUGAGUGGCCAGACUGGCCAGGCAGGCGAGUCACAGAACUUCUGCCUUUGGUUCCCUCCAGGCCUCAAGGACAAUGGCCGUCACUGUCCACCCCACGAGGCCCAGGGAGAGGGUCAGGGACAGGUAGUUCAGCCCGCCUAGUCUGACAUCAAGAAGCCGUCCCCAGGCCUCCCCUGCUCUCAUCCGGGGCUCUGAGGUCCCCACUGUGGAGAGGGUCUCACUGAGUUGCUGAGGCUGGCUUUGAAGUACAACCCUCCUGCUGCUAGGAGUCCAGGCGGGGGCCAGCUGCACCCAGCCCCAAAGGCUUUUUAUCUUCUUCAGAAGUUCGACAACUUCCCUUCCCUCUUUCCUUCCUCCAUGUGCCCUCUGUGCCCCGCCUGCCCCCUGGAGCAGAGAGGUGCCACCCCGGCCUGGAGCACCCACCACUCACAGGGAGCAGGAAGCAUCUCUGAGAAGACAAGCCCCUCUCCCCCGCUGGGUGCUCUGUGGGGAACCGACCUCAGGCCUGUGCUCUUGCUGUAAGUCUUCCCUGCGGCUGGGGCCUUUCUCUCUGGACCCCCUCCAGUGUGCUUACGGCCUCUCAAAAUGUGGAUCCCCAAGUUACAAGCAUUUUCCACAAGAGCCUGAGAGGACUUAGCAGAAGAGAUGAGUGCUCGCCGUCACUUCUGCGACUCGGCACCAGUUUUCCAACACUUCCCUGUGCUGCCUGCUGAGUGCUGGGGGCAUGUGGAGUCCCGAUGCUGAGCCCCAUGAGCAUCCCACUAAGCGGGAGGAACACCCGGGAAGCGGCCUUUGCUGUGCCAUGAGCCACCAGGUCCUGGCAGCACCAGGCAGGGUGCAGCCUCCAGCCUGUCUGGGACUUUCAUGGCCACCUGUUUUCUCCACUUCCCCCUUCCCACUUCCAAGCAUGACAUGCAAAAUCCCGCUGCAGAGAGCCCUGUGCAGCCACACUCCUCUGCUUCACUUUGAAUUCUUGGCAUUUUUCUUAAUUGACCUUUAACCUUUUAAAGACUUCUUUUUGUCUCUUUGCUCAUUGAUUUAAUUAAAAAUUUUUUUGACUUUUU
Molecule: non-coding RNA, 2387 nt
Organism: Ictidomys tridecemlineatus (thirteen-lined ground squirrel)
Lineage: Eukaryota; Metazoa; Chordata; Mammalia; Rodentia; Sciuridae
Source: RefSeq, a predicted model, not a curated record